Molecule: transfer RNA, 73 nt
Filed under: Candidatus Woesearchaeota archaeon
Lineage: Archaea; Nanobdellati; Candidatus Woesearchaeota
Description: tRNA-Val
Rfam family: tRNA
About the family: Transfer RNA (tRNA) molecules are approximately 80 nucleotides in length. Their secondary structure includes four short double-helical elements and three loops (D, anti-codon, and T loops). Further hydrogen bonds mediate the characteristic L-shaped molecular structure. tRNAs have two regions of fundamental functional importance: the anti-codon, which is responsible for specific mRNA codon recognition, and the 3' end, to which the tRNAs corresponding amino acid is attached (by aminoacyl-tRNA synthetases). tRNAs cope with the degeneracy of the genetic code in two manners: having more than one tRNA (with a specific anti-codon) for a particular amino acid; and 'wobble' base-pairing, i.e. permitting non-standard base-pairing at the 3rd anti-codon position.
Source: RNAcentral
GGGCUCAUAGUCUAGCGGCUAUGACGUCUCCCUUACACGGAGAAGGUCGCCAGUUCGAAUCUGGCUGGGCCCA